AAUCAACGCUGGCGGCGUGCCUCAGACAUGCAAGUCGAACGCGAAAUUUCCCUUCGGGGAGAAAGUAGAGUGGCGCACGGGUGAGUAACACGUAGGUAAUUUGCCUUUGGGUGGGGAAUAACUCAGGGAAACUUGAGCUAAUACCGCAUAAUGCAGCGGCUCGACAUCGAGACAGUUGUUAAAGCGGGGGAUUGGAGCAAUCCGACCUCGCGCCUAAAGAGAAGCCUGCGGCAGAUUAGCUAGUUGGUAAGGUAAUGGCUUACCAAGGCGACGAUCUGUAACCGGCCUGAGAGGGCGGUCGGUCACACUGACACUGACAUACGGGUCAGACUCCUACGGGAGGCAGCAGUCGGGAAUUUUGGGCAAUGGGCGCAAGCCUGACCCAGCAACGCCGCGUGAAGGAUGAAAUUUUUCGGAAUGUAAACUUCGCAAGAACAGGAAGAAUAAGUGUGGGACAAUACCCACAUGAUGACGGUACUGUUUGUAAGCUCCGG
RNAcentral lists this ribosomal RNA (494 nucleotides) under uncultured bacterium. Its description in RNAcentral is "bacterial SSU rRNA". It matches the Rfam family "Bacterial small subunit ribosomal RNA", at positions 32 to 496 of the family's 1533-position model. The record is from RNAcentral.